UACGAAGGGUGCGAGCGUUAUUCGGAAUCACUGCGCGUAAAGGGUGCGUAGACGGUAUGUUAAGUUUGUUGUUAAAGGCUCCGGCCUAACUGGAGUAUUGCGAUGAAAACUGGCAAACUAGAGGGUGAGAGAGAGAAGUGGAAUUCCCGGAGUAGCGGUAAAAUGCGUGGAUCUCGGGAGGAACACCAAUGGCGAAGGCAGCUUCUUGGCUCAUACCUGACGUUGAGGCACGAAAGCGUGGGGAGCAAACAGG
This 253-nucleotide ribosomal RNA is filed under the name uncultured bacterium. RNAcentral's name for it is "partial 16S ribosomal RNA". It matches the Rfam family "Bacterial small subunit ribosomal RNA", at positions 524 to 776 of the family's 1533-position model. The record is from RNAcentral.